RNAcentral lists this long non-coding RNA (3129 nucleotides) under Nicotiana tabacum (common tobacco). RNAcentral's name for it is "long non-coding RNA (NTAB_LNC002810)". Lineage: Eukaryota; Viridiplantae; Streptophyta; Magnoliopsida; Solanales; Solanaceae. The record is from RNAcentral.
ACCUAAGAUUCCAUCUCCUUCACAAUCUGCAGCUUCAAGGGGAGAGCUGUUACCACCACCUCCUCCUCAUAAGGAGGAAACUUCUUCUAAAGUCCAGGAGAUUGCUGAGGAGGGUAAAAAUGGCAGUGCACCACAGCAAAUGGUGGAGAGAGGCAGGAUUUCUAAGGUUGCAGAUGUUUCUGAAGCCACACAUGAGUCAGUUAGUGUUAAAGAACCUGCAUCCCAGGGAAGUGCUCCAUUGGCUGAUGAAGAAGUUCAACAAAAGCAUGUAGCUGCGGAGGCAGGUAAUGAUGCUCUGUUGUUCACAUUUUUGGCUUCGUAAGUCUUUGGUUGUAUCUUACCGAGCAGCUUAGAGGAGAUUCUUGGUUUCUUAUAUCCCUUGGAUUAGUUCUCAUCUAUUUCUAUUUUUUAUUUUUUCAGCAAAGAAAAAGAAGAAGAAGAAAGCACGCCUGCCAUUGAACCGUAUGCACAUUUCCCUUCCUCUUGUGCACGAGUUGAUAAAUCUGUUAGUUAUUUUUUGGAAUAGAGCUUCGAUUAUUAUGUCUGCAAUCUUGAUGGAUCUGUUUCCUGAUUUACUUGAUGCCCUUGCAGCUGCUGCUGCGGAGAUGCAGUGGAGAGCUGCUCAAGAUCAUCUUGCUGCUGAGAAUUAUAUGAUGUCCAUGGGUCCUUCUGCGUAUAAUCCUUAUUGGACAGGCAUGCAACCUGGACUAGAUGGGUUUGCAGCCCCUUAUCAUGGUGCCAUGCCGUACAAUCCUUAUGGGUUUGGUCCUCUAGAUGUUCCAUUUGUCCCUCCUGUAUUACCACAAGAUCCAUUUGGCGGACAAGGUUUUAUGUUGCCUUUUGGUCCUCCAAUGCAGAGGUAUAAUUUGUGUUGCCUUUUAUCCUGAAUUUCUCUCUUAAUCUCUGAUCAAGCGUUUACACAUGUUUUGGGGGUCCUAACCCCUUCUCGCAGUUUUUGGAAAUGGAUAUUCAGUCUGGUUCUGAUGUUGUAGUUUAAUUACUUUCAUGUUCAUGUAUCUAUAUGUGUCAGCUCCUGCGAGAUUUGGAUCACCUGACUGGUUUAAAAAUGACCACCAAAUUUUAGGGAUCUUGCAGCAGAGUUUGGGAUGGGAUUUAAUGCUGGCCCACCAAUCAUGAGCAGAGAAGAGUUCGAGGCUAGAAAGGCUGAUCUGAAAAGGAAGCGUGAGAUCGAGAUACGGGGAGAGAGGUAAUUUAACCUACCUGGUUUUCUGUUCCUGUUAAUUCAUUGCACAAUAUGGUGCUAUUUCCGUUGGUGAUGUUAAAAUCACAUUAAAUGAUCUGAGCACUGCGUGUUGAGGUUUUCCAAAGAAUGCUCAUUCCGUAAUUUCACGGCAUCACAUUAUGGUGCUAUUUUGGUGUGAUAUCAAGAAUUUCUUAAAUGCUUGAGUAUUGAAUCUUGAGGUUUUUGCAGUAUGCGUGUGCUAUAAGUGCCUCCGUACAACUUAGUUUUCUCUACUUGAAGGCAUGCUGAAUUCAAGCACGAUUAAUUAUAUCCUCAUAUUUUGUCCUCUUUGGUUUGUUUUUAUUGUCAAGAGUCAUUUUCUAUUAUGCUUCUGCUUUUUAACGCACUUUCAAUGGAUUUUUGAUAUUGGCAAUGUCUCGUGUUAUAUCCAGCAGGGAGUUUCCUAAAGACAGGGAACAUGCAAGGGAAGUUGGGAGCGGUGCUGAUGGUCCUCCAGUGAAAUCCAAAUCUGUAUGUAUCUUGCUUGCCAAAUAUUCCAGUCUAUUUUAUCCCUAUAUUUUAGUAGAUGGGUAUGCGUUACGAGAAAAUUUGGCUAACAACCUGUUUAGCCAAGAAGCAGUUUAUUUCCAGUUUCAUCUUUCUAUUACCGGGGACAGUCAAAAAAGCAGCAGUCCCCUCCCCCCCCCCCCCCCAAACCACCACCAAAAAAAAAAAAAAGAGUCUCAGAGACUGAAUUUCUAGCAUUUUUUUCUAAUAUUAAGUACAGGACACACUGGAGUCUGGACUACCUUAAUAUGGGGUUCUGGAGAAUUAAGAUUAAAGUUUGCCCAUUCUGCUGGAAGGGUAUAUACGACUUCCUAACCCUAGUUGGUGCUCCUUUUGAAUGAUGAUGUUGCCUGAUGGCGAAAAAUAUCGUCACAGUUUUUGGUUGCCCUCAGUAAAAUGGGCAGUUGACUGGAGCUCAAUCAGGACAGUGCGCAUUAAGAUGUUGAUUUACAUUUCUUUUGCUAGUUAUUAGUCUGUUCCGGUUCCUGUAUGUUGGAUGUGUUGGACAAUGGCCAUUAAGUGAUUUUGUUCCCUCAUUUUCUUUUCUGUUUUUUUCCCCAAUUUUUUAAACCUUUUCCUAAUGGAAACAAGCCUGGAGUUCUACUCCUUUUGUGACGAAACUGUUUGCCUAUUUUGACGAAAAUUUUUACAGUAAGCUAUUAAGAACAUGGAAAAAUGAUGGAAGUGGAUAGGACUCCAAAAGUGUUCUAGACUAAUCUUCUGUUGUAGAAUCAUUGAAGUGUAGUGGGGGAUUGGGUGAGGUUAAAUCAUUUUUCCUGGAAUGUACUAUGGUGUAUUUAUUUUGAGUAUUUGCUAGGCCAGUAGGAAAAAAGAGUCUAUUUUAAAGAGGUGUAAAAUCCUCUCCUUUUGUAGUGCAUGAUGUUUUUUACGGCUUUAGAUCUGCAUUUUGAUAUUUUAGAACAUUUUUUCUUCUUUGCAAUUUUUUGAUAUUAAUAUAUUCAUUGAUGAUUGCACAGAAAGCUAUUCCUCCUCAAUCGAGCUCCGGCCGUCCCCGCCGACCUGAGAGGCCAUCACCGGACCUUGACCACCACCGCCGACCUGAGAGGCCAUCGCCAGACCUUGACCACCACCGCCGACCUGAGAGGCCUUCGCCGGAGCUUGACCACCGCCGCCGACCUGAGAGGCCCUCACCUGACCUUGACUAUCACCGUCGGCCUGAGAGGCCAUCUCCAGACCGUCGAUCGCGAGAUCCUGAACUUCCUCGCCCUUUGUCCAAGAGAAAGUAUGAAGAUUAUGAUGAUCACCAUCAUGAGGACCGCCAUCGCCGCGACCACCAUGAGGACCGCCACCACCGUGAGUAUGCCCAUCGCAGUAGCAGUAGCCACCACCGUUCAGAAUCUUCAGCUAGCGUCAAACCA